RNAcentral lists this ribosomal RNA (274 nucleotides) under uncultured bacterium. Its description in RNAcentral is "partial 16S ribosomal RNA". It matches the Rfam family "Bacterial small subunit ribosomal RNA", at positions 523 to 796 of the family's 1533-position model. The record is from RNAcentral.
AUACGGAGGGUGCAAGCGUUACUCGGAAUCACUGGGCGUAAAGGGCGCGCAGGCGGGUUGGUAAGUCAGAUGUGAAAGCCCACGGCUCAACCGUGGAAGUGCAUUUGAAACUGCCAGACUUGAGUACCAGAGGGGAAAGUGGAAUUCCCGGUGUAGAGGUGAAAUUCGUAGAUAUCGGGAGGAAUACCGGUGGCGAAGGCGACUUUCUGGCUGGAUACUGACGCUGAGGCGCGAAAGCGUGGGGAGCAAACAGGAUUAGAAACCCUAGUAGUCC